Molecule: ribosomal RNA, 253 nt
Filed under: uncultured bacterium
Lineage: Bacteria
Description: partial 16S ribosomal RNA
Rfam family: Bacterial small subunit ribosomal RNA
Source: RNAcentral
UACAGAGGGUGCAAGCGUUAAUCGGAAUUACUGGGCGUAAAGGGUGCGUAGGUGGUUAAUUAAGUUGUAUGUGAAAACCCUGGGCUUAACCUAGGAAUUGCAUAUAAAACUGAUUAGCUAGAGUGCGGUAGAGGGAAGUGGAAUUUCCGGUGUAGCGGUGAAAUGCGUAGAUAUCGGAAAGAACACCAACGGCGAAAGCACUCUGCUGGGCCGACACUGACACUGAGAGACGAAAGCUAGGGGAGCGAAUGGG